Long non-coding RNA from Eurytemora carolleeae, 385 nucleotides. RefSeq lists it as uncharacterized. Lineage: Eukaryota; Metazoa; Arthropoda; Copepoda; Calanoida; Temoridae. The record is from RefSeq and is a predicted model, not a curated record. The transcript is spliced from 2 exons.
UCUAGAUCUUAUUCAAUGGAAAAAUGUAAAAUUUAACAGGUUUUUUAUCUUUACUAGAUCAGUCAACCGCUCUACUACUACAAAAUUCCUUAAAUACGUUUUCUGGUUCUGACUGUACAUUAACAGUUGGAUCAAAUGUAACUGUUUAAAUCACACGAAACCCAACUGAAGAAAGCGGUUCAUUUUAUACUUGGAUUAAGGCUUUUUCUUUAGGUAGAUAGUUUCUAAGACUUAAAUAUCUAUGUUUUUAAGAAAAGAAGGAUUCAAAACAUGUUAGAUGAUUAACCAAUCAUAAAUAAACUUUGUAGCCGACCAACCUUCUUAUGAACAUGUAAAAAAGUCGCUUAGUAAGUAUUUGUAAUAAAUGUUAUGAUUUAUAUUUAAA